Anolis carolinensis (green anole) is the source of this 3397-nucleotide long non-coding RNA. RefSeq lists it as uncharacterized. The transcript has 2 exons. The record is from RefSeq and is a predicted model, not a curated record. Lineage: Eukaryota; Metazoa; Chordata; Lepidosauria; Squamata; Anolidae.
UGUUUUUUUUUUCAGACCUUGGACAGAAAAGCCCAUUCGUAUAGGCACCCAUUUCCAUCAGUGGCAGACGGAAACAGAAAUUGGGCCAUACAAAUGGAACAAACAGAAACGUUAUUCUGCAACCCUCCUCGAGCCACAAGGAGUGACGGGUAAGAAAUGUUGUUGUUGUUGUUGUUGUUGUUGUUGUUGUUGUUGUUGUUGUUGUUGUUGUUGUUAUGUGAACCAUGUGCAAAUUUGACACAGAAAAAAGCCCCCUUUAUAUUAUUUUUCACACACAAAAUAGUAUUUUCUGCAUGGAAAAUAAUAUUUCAACAUACAGUUUAUUGGCGUCAAAAACAGCGUGGAGCUCCAAGGCUUUCCCUUCGCUGGAAGAAAAAUUUUAAAAUCUAUUUAUUCCUUCCUUUGAGAAGCAACUUAGUGAAGAAUUCUACCUAUAGAAAGAAGCUCAGAGCCAGCCCAACACUGUAUGGUUUUGGAGUGUAUUUCCUUGAAAUGAUACUAAACAAGAGCCCAAAAUAAAUGUUUCAAUGAUUCAACGACGAAACCGUCUCCUGGAGCAGGGAUGGCUCUUGCGGCAUUAUUUUCUCCCACGGUUCCUUGGGUUCUGUCUCCCUACAAUCCAUCUCCAACUCUCGCAGCCUUUGUCAUACGAUGCUUUGCCUUCCUUACACUUCUGUGCUUUGCAACACAGCUCUGGAAAUGUAUAAUAUAUACUUUUAAAUGGCACAAUACCGCCGCAAUCACGCUUCGACGCUGCCUCCAAAACGAUCCCAUUGUAUCUUUCUCUAUUCAGCCUGCAAAAUAGCGAGCAUUUCUCUUCUUAUUUUCCGUCCGCAAGCACAGGUAAGUUGCCAGUAAUGCCGGCAUAUUUUCAAUAAGAACCUCAAGCCAUUCUUGGAAAAGGUUUAGAUUUUUGUUCCUUCUCCUUGUUGUAUAUCUUCAGGGGACUAAAGUGCUUUGGGAGUGGGAAGGAGAACAAAAAGGGAAAGGUGACGAUGGAAAGAAACCAUGCUGGACAUCCUUUCUCAUCCCCAAGGAGAUAGUUUCAAAUCCAAAGCAAUUUAGCUAUUGUGGAGUGACCUAAAUGAUUGGAUCUAAAGGACGGACGGACGAAUCCAAUGGGUUUUGAGCCAUUUCGAUCAAAGCACCAGGGAUUCUGAAAACACAAAAUUGUACAAUUUCAGCUCAGAGUAGAAGGUGUGAAUGAUAUGAAUCCCCAGGGAACCUUUCUUGACUGUAUAAAGCAGCUUUGCUCCAAGUUGGCCACUUUGAUUAGCAACCUUCACACUUGCCUCCAACAGACAAGAGUUACGUGCUCCCAAAGUACUGAAGAUACCAAAGGAAACAAAGGAAACCGGAGAAACGAAAUCUGUGCACAACCCUACUGUAUAUAGGCUGCGACACAUAGAAAAUGUCCCAAAUCAAAGAUCAACUUUCUUGGAAUGAGUUUGCUUGAUGGAGAACUUGGAUGCUGGAGUUUUGAUAUCACCAAUAUUAUUAUUAUUAUUAUUAUUAUUAUUAUUAUUAUUAUUAUUAAUAAUAAUAAUAAUAAUAAUGAAAAUCGUAUCACUUCAGCACAGCUCACCGAUUAAAUGGUAGCCCAAUGGAAGUAUUCACUGGAGUUUAGAUGUAAUUAAGAUCGAAUUGAUUUUAUAUUCAAUCCAUGUAAACACUGCUCCCUCCAACUCUUACAAAUCUAUAAAGUAGCACAAAAAUCACCGGCUCGAUUUUUCAAAAGGAUGGAUAGUUAACGCAGGGGGCUGCUUUGCCCUUUAUCCGUGUAUGACACAAAGAAGGCAUAAAUGUGAAGCGACGCGGCAUUGGCUCAUUCAGAAAGCUAUUGAAGGAAGCUUAAAUGUUGACCAUUUUUCAAGGCCGCUUCUACUUUCUGUCUUCUCAGUGAAUUAAUUAAACUCAUUAGUUUGACAAGCAGAAAAACCCAUUCCAUAUAAACACCAUGUUUCCCAGUUGAGAUACAGCUUUAUUAUAACCAAUCUUGCAAAAGGCACUUAUGAUCAUGAGUAUCUCUAAACUCAGAAUUAAACGCUUGGAUGCGGAUGGGGUGAUUCCAUGCAGAGGAAGUUACUCAGUUGUCACAUGUAGGUUCUUUCCCAAAAGCAUUCUCUCCUGACGUUUCACCCACAUCUAUGGCAGGCAUCCUCAGAGGUUGUGAGGUAUAUACAUGUGGAAAUAUGGAUUCCAUUCAACUUUAUUUUUAAACAACCAAGUCUAGGUUACGGCCAAAAGAAAGGCCAAUAACGGACAAAACAAUACGAUUUGAAAAUUCCUACACAAUAUACAAAAAUAUGAUAUUACCUUUGACACAGGGCGAUGUACAAUGUAAUGCACAACAGUUGCAAAUAUAACUGCCAACUCUGCAUUCUUUUCAUAAGAAAAAUUAAUCUAAUUUAUUCUCAUAAUAAAUUCCAAGUAGGGCUGCUUUCACUGCAAAUCUAGAUACAUUAGCCAUGACUGAUUUAAUUGGUCUUGACAGCAAGUAUAUAAUUUUAUCCCUAUCAUUAAAAUUAGCUACAGGCAACAAACAUCUUACCAAGUAUUGAUCCCUUGGAAUUUCCUAUCGCUUACAAUGGAACAUGUAAGUUACACACAGUGUCUUCGGGUGCUUGGCUCCCACGGAUGAAGUGCUACCGUUCCCUACGAAUAGAAAGCUCAAUGCCAUGGAAGCCUGGGGAUUGUAGUUUGGUGAGGCACCAGCACUCUUUGGCAGGAAAAGUUAAAGACUUUGUAAAGCUACAAAAUCGUAUUAUCUGGUAACCAUUGAAGGCUGAGCUGUCCAGACUUUUCAUGCUUGUGCCAUGCUUUUCAGACACACAUCCUUUCGCAACACGGUCAUUCGGUUUGACGAGCAAACUGAAGGUUAACCAAGCCCUUCAAGGAGUUUCAUACCUAUAUAUAUUCACAUAUACAUACAUAUAUGUAUAUAUGAAACGUAUCAUGUACUCAUUUGUUUCCUAUAAUUAAUCUCAACUGUGUAAACAAUGUUUGGACUUUUCCCCUUUAUGCUUCUUAUGUCCUACACUUGAUUGUUGUGUUAUUUUCUCUAAUGACUGUGAAUGUCAUGAUGCAAUCACAAAGGGAAUUGGUGAUGGCUGAGUCAUAACCGUGUGAGGUGUAUUGCAUCAUAUACAACUUCUAUAAUGUGCACUUUACUUAGUCUAUUAUCAUAACCUCGCUAUUUUUAAUUCCAUGUUUUAUUAAGUGUGUGUUUUUUUAUUAUUUAGGUUAAUGUUUAGAAUUUUAUAAUUUGUGUAUGUUUUUUGUUUAUUGAUGUAUUGUAUAUUGUUAUUGUUUUUAUCUGGUAUUAUCUGUAAGCCGCCCUGAGUCCCCUUCCCGGGAGAUGGAGGCAGGGUAUAAAUAAACUUAUUAGUCAGCUCUA